AGUGAACGCUGGCGGUAGGCCUAACACAUGCAAGUCGAACGGCAGCACAGUAAGAGCUUGCUCUUACGGGUGGCGAGUGGCGGACGGGUGAGGAAUACAUCGGAAUCUACUUUUUCGUGGGGGAUAACGUAGGGAAACUUACGCUAAUACCGCAUACGACCUACGGGUGAAAGCAGGGGAUCUUCGGACCUUGCGCGAUUGAAUGAGCCGAUGUCGGAUUAGCUAGUUGGCGGGGUAAAGGCCCACCAAGGCGACGAUCCGUAGCUGGUCUGAGAGGAUGAUCAGGCACACGGGAACAGAGACAAGGUCCAGACUCCUACGGGAGGCAGCAGUGGGGAAUAUUGGACAAUGGGCGCAAGCCUGAUCCAGCCAUACCGCGUGAGUGAAGAAGGCCUGCGGGUUGUAAAGCCCUUUUGUUGGGAAAGAAAAGCAGCAGGUUAAUACCCCGCUGUUCUGACGGUACCCAAAGAAUAAGCACCGGCUAACUUCGUG
This 492-nucleotide ribosomal RNA is filed under the name uncultured bacterium. RNAcentral describes it as "partial 16S ribosomal RNA". It matches the Rfam family "Bacterial small subunit ribosomal RNA", at positions 29 to 507 of the family's 1533-position model. The record is from RNAcentral.